RNAcentral lists this transfer RNA (402 nucleotides) under uncultured Microcystis sp. Its description in RNAcentral is "partial contains 16S-23S ribosomal RNA intergenic spacer, and 23S ribosomal RNA". The stretch from base 135 to 208 matches the Rfam family "tRNA". Lineage: Bacteria; Bacillati; Cyanobacteriota; Cyanophyceae; Chroococcales; Microcystaceae. The record is from RNAcentral.
AAGGGAGACCUAAUUCAGGUGGGAGACGAAAAAAAAGUAGUCCCAACCAAGAAUCAAUCCCAAAAGGUCGGAGCGAGGCGAAAUUGGCUUUCAAACUAGGUUCUGGGUUCACAUAAGACCUGAAUCAGGAACAAGGGCUAUUAGCUCAGGUGGUUAGAGCGCACCCCUGAUAAGGGUGAGGUCCCUGGUUCGAGUCCAGGAUGGCCCACCUGCACAGGUGGCAAAAACAAAGAAAAAAAGCUCCGAAUCAGCACCUUAUCUUACUUAUACAGUAAGAGAGAAUGCUGGCUCUGAGUUCAGAGUCCAGAGGAACCUUGAAAACUGCAUAGAGCUAGGUGAAAAAGCCAAAAAAGAAGACCGCAAGGUCAAGCUAAUAAGGGCUAACGGUGGAUACCUAGGCAC